GACGAACCGUGCAAACGUUGUUCGGAAUCACUGGGCUUAAAGGGCGCGUAGGCGGGUGGCAAAGUCAGGGGUGAAAUCUUUCGGCUUAACCGGAAAAUAGCCUUUGAUACUGGCCGUCUCGAGCGAGGUAGGGGCAUGUGGAACUUCCGGUGGAGCGGUGAAAUGCGUUGAUAUCGGAAGGAACGCCGGUGGCGAAAGCGACGUGCUGGACCUCUUCUGACGCUGAUGCGCGAAAGCUAGGGGAGCAAACAGG
RNAcentral lists this ribosomal RNA (253 nucleotides) under uncultured bacterium. Its description in RNAcentral is "partial 16S ribosomal RNA". It matches the Rfam family "Bacterial small subunit ribosomal RNA", at positions 524 to 776 of the family's 1533-position model. The record is from RNAcentral.